Molecule: ribosomal RNA, 1077 nt
Filed under: Salmonella enterica
Lineage: Bacteria; Pseudomonadati; Pseudomonadota; Gammaproteobacteria; Enterobacterales; Enterobacteriaceae
Description: partial 23S ribosomal RNA
Rfam family: Bacterial large subunit ribosomal RNA
Source: RNAcentral
GCGGAAGAUGUAACGGGGCUAAACCAUGCACCGAAGCUGCGGCAGCGAACGUAUCACUUAAAGCGAUUCAGCGGGUUACGAUUGACGGAGCGAAGCGACGUCAAAGCGUAUACAAAGUCGAGUCGGUUUAAGGAUACGUUCGUUGGGUAGGGGAGCGUUCUGUAAGCCUGUGAAGGUGUGUCGUGAGGCAUGCUGGAGGUAUCAGAAGUGCGAAUGCUGACAUAAGUAACGAUAAAGCGGGUGAAAAGCCCGCUCGCCGGAAGACCAAGGGUUCCUGUCCAACGUUAAUCGGGGCAGGGUGAGUCGACCCCUAAGGCGAGGCCGAAAGGCGUAGUCGAUGGGAAACGGGUUAAUAUUCCCGUACUUGGUGUUACUGCGAAGGGGGGACGGAGAAGGCUAUGUUGGCCGGGCGACGGUUGUCCCGGUUUAAGCGUGUAGGUGUGUGUUCCAGGUAAAUCCGGUUCACUUUAACACUGAGGCGUGACGACGAGGCACUACGGUGCUGAAGCAACAAAUGCCCUGCUUCCAGGAAAAGCCUCUAAGCAUCAGGUAACAUCAAAUCGUACCCCAAACCGACACAGGUGGUCAGGUAGAGAAUACCAAGGCGCUUGAGAGAACUCGGGUGAAGGAACUAGGCAAAAUGGUGCCGUAACUUCGGGAGAAGGCACGCUGACACGUAGGUGAAGUGAUUUACUCAUGGAGCUGAAGUCAGUCGAAGAUACCAGCUGGCUGCAACUGUUUAUUAAAAACACAGCACUGUGCAAACACGAAAGUGGACGUAUACGGUGUGACGCCUGCCCGGUGCCGGAAGGUUAAUUGAUGGGGUCAGCGCAAGCGAAGCUCCUGAUCGAAGCCCCGGUAAACGGCGGCCGUAACUAUAACGGUCCUAAGGUAGCGAAAUUCCUUGUCGGGUAAGUUCCGACCUGCACGAAUGGCGUAAUGAUGGCCAGGCUGUCUCCACCCGAGACUCAGUGAAAUUGAACUCGCUGUGAAGAUGCAGUGUACCCGCGGCAAGACGGAAAGACCCCGUGAACCUUUACUAUAGCUUGACACUGAACAUUGAGCCUUGAUGUGUAG